UUGAUAAGGACUGCCACUAUGGGUACGACCAUUAUCAGGAGUAACCCUUUCUCUACGGUAAGGACUACGGCUGGACCCAUGGCCAUGGUCAUGGCCUGCCCUCUCUCUCCUGUAAGGACUACGGCUUGAGUCUCGGCCAUAGUCAGGACUAGCUCUCUCUCUCCUGUAGGGACUUGGGCUGCGACGACGGCCAUAAUCUGGGCUAGCCCUCU
This 212-nucleotide unclassified non-coding RNA is filed under the name Hevea brasiliensis (rubber tree). The record is from RNAcentral. Lineage: Eukaryota; Viridiplantae; Streptophyta; Magnoliopsida; Malpighiales; Euphorbiaceae.